UCUCUAGUUUUUCUAGAGAGAGAAUAUCCUCUCUUUUGCCUUUGAUCUAUGGUGUUCUCGAGUCUUCACCGAGUGUCUCCGAUGGCCAUCCCCUGCCCUCUGGGUAGGGAAGGAUGUUUUCUCCGACUGGUUGAUGGGUCCCUCUCCCCUUCCUAGUCUAGUUUAUUCAUAGUUUUGUGAGGUUGUUUUGUUUUACAGGUCUUAAGCUUUUCUAGGUGAGGAUGGAAUAGAGACAAUCUAGUCUAUGGUGCUGUGUCGAUUGCUAUAUUGGGGCCUAGAAAGUUCUAUGCUUGGUGGUGCCUUUCAACUAAGUAGGAAGAAUCAAAGAUGGCUUCUCAAGGAUUGAAGACCUGGCGUUAAAAUUUGGUUGGCCGGCUCUCCAUGACUAGAUCGAGACUGAAGACAUGGCCCCUGCUUCCUCUUUUUCCUAAGUUGGUGUUCCUGAGUUACCUAUCGGAAGCGGUGGUUCUAUUUUGCAAGGAUAGAGUUGUGAUCCUCUUAUUGUGGCUUAUCUUGCUUUGGCGAGUUGAGGCACUGGCAGAAGAUCUCCUUUCUAGCUUUUGGUGGAUUCUCCAAUUAAGCUUCCAACAACAGUGCAUGACAUUGAUCCUGAGUUCUGCUUGGGUGGCUUUUGGUCUAGGGUUUCGUUGGAUGGGACAAUGGGCUUUUACUAAAAGUUUUACUCG
This 686-nucleotide unclassified non-coding RNA is filed under the name Hevea brasiliensis (rubber tree). Lineage: Eukaryota; Viridiplantae; Streptophyta; Magnoliopsida; Malpighiales; Euphorbiaceae. The record is from RNAcentral.